Molecule: non-coding RNA, 75 nt
Organism: Podarcis lilfordi (Lilford's wall lizard)
Lineage: Eukaryota; Metazoa; Chordata; Lepidosauria; Squamata; Lacertidae
Source: the annotation of a GenBank genome assembly
GAUAGCUCAGUGGAUUAGAGUGUGGCAUUGUUAACGCCAAGGUUGCAGGUUCGAGUCCCAUAUGGGACAGCAGCA